Molecule: ribosomal RNA, 253 nt
Filed under: uncultured bacterium
Lineage: Bacteria
Description: partial 16S ribosomal RNA
Rfam family: Bacterial small subunit ribosomal RNA
Source: RNAcentral
UACGUAGGGGGCUAGCGUUGCUCGGAAUUACUGGGCGUAAAGCGCACGUAGGCGGCUUUCUAAGUCGGGGGUGAAAUCCUGGAGCUCAACUCCAGAACUGCCUUCGAUACUGGAAAGCUCGAGUCCGGGAGAGGUGAGUGGAACUGCGAGUGUAGAGGUGAAAUUCGUAGAUAUUCGCAAGAACACCAGUGGCGAAGGCGGCUCACUGGCCCGAUACUGACGCUGAGGCACGAAAGCGUGGGGAGCAAACAGG